This 452-nucleotide long non-coding RNA is filed under the name Vigna radiata. Its description in RNAcentral is "long non-coding RNA (VRAD_LNC017277)". Lineage: Eukaryota; Viridiplantae; Streptophyta; Magnoliopsida; Fabales; Fabaceae. The record is from RNAcentral.
GAAGGGGCACAUGGAUGAAUCGAUCAUACACCGGAAUGAGAGGGAUCUGGAGACUGUAUAGGUAUGGGACUAUACAGUUGAAAGAUAGCUUAAAGGAAUUGAUUUGGCUACCUAUAUCACCAAAAUGCAUUUACUUUUCGGUAGCCUAACCCUUAAGAACUCCAUGGUUAAGCGUGCUUAGCCUGGAGUAAUUCUGGGAUGGGUGACCUUNCGGGAAGUUUUCCCGGAAAGUGUGCGAGUGAGGACAAAACACACUGGAAAGUCUCGUGGUGAUUUGUGGGGGCAGUCAACAAUCCCUGUAAGUUGUCGGGGCCUUACAAAUGGUAUCAGAGCCUAGCCUCUCCCAGUACGAUGUGGUUCGAGGAUGAACCAGACGAAAGCUGGUGGGCAUGUGACGCCCGGGCACUGACGAGGGCGGGGAGUGAUCGCCGGUGCAAGAGGCAUGGUGCAGG